ACGAACGCUGGCGGCGUGCCUAAUCCAUGCAAGUUGCGCGAUGAAGAUUGGUGCUUGCACCAAUUUGAAGAGCAGCGAACGGGUGAGUAACGCGUGGGGAAUCUGCCUUUGAGCGGGGGACAACAUUUGGAAACGAAUGCUAAUACCGCAUAAUAACUUUAAACAUAAGUUUUAAGUUUGAAAGAUGCAAUUGCAUCACUCAAAGAUGAUCCCGCGUUGUAUUAGCUAGUUGGUGAGGUAAAGGCUCACCAAGGCGAUGAUACAUAGCCGACCUGAGGGGGUGAUCGGCCACAUUGGGACUGAGACACGGCCCAAACUCCUACGGGAGGCAGCAGUAGGGAAUCUUCGGCAAUGGACGAAAGUCUGACCGAGCAACGCCGCGUGAGUGAAGAAGGUUUUCGGAUCGUAAAACUCUGUUGGUAGAGAAGAACGUUGGUGAGAGUGGAAAGCUCAUCAAGUGACGGUAACUACCCAGAAAGGGACGGCUAACUACGUG
Molecule: ribosomal RNA, 496 nt
Filed under: uncultured bacterium
Lineage: Bacteria
Description: partial 16S ribosomal RNA
Rfam family: Bacterial small subunit ribosomal RNA
Source: RNAcentral